UACGUAGGGGGCGAGCGUUGUCCGGAAUUAUUGGGCGUAAAGGGUACGUAGGCGGUUUUUUAAGUCUGGUGUGAAAUUGGUGGGCUCAACCCACCCAAGCAUUGGAAACUGGAAAACUUGAGUCAUGGAGAGGAAAGUGGAAUUCCUAGUGUAGCGGUGAAAUGCGUAGAUAUUAGGAGGAAUACCGGUGGCGAAGGCGACUUUCUGGACAUGUACUGACGCUGAGGUACGAAAGCGUGGGGAGCAAACAGG
RNAcentral lists this ribosomal RNA (252 nucleotides) under uncultured bacterium. Its description in RNAcentral is "partial 16S ribosomal RNA". It matches the Rfam family "Bacterial small subunit ribosomal RNA", at positions 524 to 776 of the family's 1533-position model. The record is from RNAcentral.